Molecule: ribosomal RNA, 507 nt
Filed under: Bacillus pumilus
Lineage: Bacteria; Bacillati; Bacillota; Bacilli; Caryophanales; Bacillaceae
Description: bacterial SSU rRNA
Rfam family: Bacterial small subunit ribosomal RNA
Source: RNAcentral
UGGGAAGACGAGUCUGACGGAGCACGCCGCGUGAGUGAUGAAGGUUUUCGGAUCGUAAAGCUCUGUUGUUAGGGAAGAACAAGUGCAAGAGUAACUGCUUGCACCUUGACGGUACCUAACCAGAAAGCCACGGCUAACUACGUGCCAGCAGCCGCGGUAAUACGUAGGUGGCAAGCGUUGUCCGGAAUUAUUGGGCGUAAAGGGCUCGCAGGCGGUUUCUUAAGUCUGAUGUGAAAGCCCCCGGCUCAACCGGGGAGGGUCAUUGGAAACUGGGAAACUUGAGUGCAGAAGAGGAGAGUGGAAUUCCACGUGUAGCGGUGAAAUGCGUAGAGAUGUGGAGGAACACCAGUGGCGAAGGCGACUCUCUGGUCUGUAACUGACGCUGAGGAGCGAAAGCGUGGGGAGCGAACAGGAUUAGAUACCCUGGUAGUCCACGCCGUAAACGAUGAGUGCUAAGUGUUAGGGGGUUUCCGCCCCUUAGUGCUGCAGCUAACGCAUUAAGCACUC